Balaenoptera acutorostrata (minke whale) is the source of this 515-nucleotide long non-coding RNA. RefSeq lists it as uncharacterized. Lineage: Eukaryota; Metazoa; Chordata; Mammalia; Artiodactyla; Balaenopteridae. The transcript is spliced from 2 exons. The record is from RefSeq and is a predicted model, not a curated record.
CCCAGCCAAACUAUCAAGCAGGUGACUGUCUAGAAAUGUAAGCUCUCUAAAGUUUUCCUCCCAUGACUCUCUCAGAAAGCCACUAGAAGAAUGCUCCACCAAAACAAGAAAGUAGACCCAGGGAGCAGGAGACACUUUCUUGCAAAGAAGAAGGAAAGGAAGUCCUAAUGUGACAACCAACCAGGAGGCCAAGAAAUCAGCCAGUCAAGAUACUGAAGCCCUUACCAAGUGGAAGAAGUUAACUGCUGCCCACAAGCAGGUAGGCCCAGACCAGCUGGAACCAGAAGGUUGAUGAUGCAGACUCCUGGUUACCUCACCACCAGCCAAUCAGAAGGAUGUCCACGAGCUGACCACGCCCCCACAGCCCUCUCCUCAGCACAUAGCCCCUUCCUCCUUUCCCUGUAGAAUCUCCGAGCAAAACCUGGGGAGUGGGAAGCUGGUUCCUUGGGACGUGAGUCCACCAUCUCCCCAGGAUUGCCGGCUUCCUCAGUAAAGCCAUCUUUCCUUUUACCCAA